This 1557-nucleotide long non-coding RNA is filed under the name Solanum tuberosum (potato). RNAcentral's name for it is "long non-coding RNA (STUB_LNC002610)". The record is from RNAcentral. Lineage: Eukaryota; Viridiplantae; Streptophyta; Magnoliopsida; Solanales; Solanaceae.
GCAGCACAAAAAGAUUGAAAAUGUCUUUCAAUAUUUUAUUAAUCAUAAUAGGGCUUUAAAUAGCCAACUUGAUAACAUAAUCUGCAGAAAAUCUGCAUAACAAGAAUUUAAAAAGACUAAAUAAUCUCAACAAUUAAAACAACCUAACAAAUAUUUAAAAUUUAAAUUCAUCCUAAAACUAGGUAGCUUAUUAUUUUAAAAAAUGACUGCAGUAACUAAAAACAAACUCAACACUCCUCCUUUGCUUUAGAUACUGUAAUUUAAAAAAGUUGCUCCUCCUCAAUUUCUGCUUCUACAACUUGUGGUUGAAGAUUGUUCUUAAGCUUGCAAACUUUUGUAACAUGACCGGCUUGUUUGCAAUUCCCACAUAUUGCAUUCGGUCUCCACCAAUAAAAAAUUUCCAAGUGCGCUUUUCUUUUGCAGUAUUUGCAAAGAGGAUAAUUAUCUUUUUCUUUUCUGUUUUGUGCAUAAAAGGCACCCUCGGUAACAUUAUCUUGCCUGAAGGCUCUUCUUCGCUCUUGUACUUGAAGAGCAUUUAUUAGUUCUUCAACAGAAAUAGUAGAGAUAUCUUUAGACUCUUCCAGAGAUGAAAUUUUAGAUUCGAAUCUCUCUGGAAUUGUCACAAGAAUUUUUUCUACUAUUCUGUCAUCUUUGAAAUCCUCGCCAAGCAACCUGAUUUUAUUAAUGAUAAAACAAAUCUUGUUAGAAUACUUAACAAUAGUUUCACCCUCUUGCAUCCUAAGAGAUUCGAAAUCUCUUUUCAAAUUCAAAAUUUGCAUUUGCCUGACUCGGUCACUUCCUUGAUAUUCCUUUUUUAUUUUUUUCCAAGCUUCUUUUGCCGUUUCACAAGCAAUGAUUUUUGAAAAAAUUGAAUCCGCAAUUGAAUUUUGAAUUACAGUUUUGACUUUGAAUUUUUUUGAUUUUUUCAUCCGAAUGAGAUUUAAUUUGAGCAAGGGUAGGAUUUGCAGGGAGAGGUUGUAAGGGUAUAUCUUCCAUUAUAACUUUCCAGAGAUCAUAGGCUACAAGAUAUGAUUUCAUUUUCACUGACCAAAUCUGAUAGUUUUCACUAGUGAAAUUUUUUGGGGCAUUCAAAGAGAGACUGUUUCUUGCCAUUAUUUCGGUUAAAAAUAAUUUAGAAAAGCAUGUGCGUUAAAAAAAUCACGGGUUGAAAAGGUAGCCUUGAUGGGUUAAAAUGGGUUGCCCUGAUGGGUUAAAAGGUAGCCCUUACGGGUUAAAACAUGUAUGGUAGUUCUUUGGAAGAUUUCACAGAUCCCUUAAGAUCAAUGAAACUCUGAUACCACUGUUGGUGUUUUUUAAAAAUGGGGCAGCACAAAAAGAUUGAAAAUGUCUCUCAAUAUUUUAUUAAUCAUAAUAGGGCUUUAAAUAGCCAACUUGAUAACAUAAUCUGCAGAAAAUCUGCUUAACAAGAAUUUAAAAAGACUAAAUAAUCUCAACAAUUAAAACAACCUAACAAAUAUUUAAAAUUCAAAUUCAUCCUAAAACUAGGUAGCUUAUUAUUUUAAAAAAUGACUGCAGUAACUAAAAGCAAACUCAACA